AAUAGAUACCCGGGUAGUCCACGCCGUAAACGUUGGGUACUAGGUGUGGCGUCCCGAUCAACGGAUGCCGUGCCGAAGCUAACGCAUUAAGUACCCCGCCUGGGGAGUACGGCCGCAAGGCUAAAACUCAAAGGAAUUGACGGGUCCCCGCACAAGCGGCGGAGCAUGCGGCUUAAUUCGAUGCAACCCGAAGAACCUUACCUGGACUUGACAUCAUGGGAAAAGCCGUAGAAAUACGGUGUCCGUAAGGGUCCAUGACAGGUGGUGCAUGGCUGUCGUCAGCUCGUGUCGUGAGAUGUUGGGUUAAGUCCCGCAACGAGCGCAACCCUUGUCCUAUGUUGCCAGCGCGUUAUGGCGGGGACUCAUAGGAGACUGCCGGGGACAACUCGGAGGAAGGUGAGGACGACGUCAAGUCAUCAUGCCCCUUAUGUCCAGGGCUGCACGCAUGCUACAAUGGCCGGUACAACAGGCAGCGAACUCGCGAGGGUGAGCGAAUCCUCAAAGCCGGCCUCAGUUCGGAUUGGAGUCUGCAAC
This 534-nucleotide ribosomal RNA is filed under the name uncultured bacterium. Its description in RNAcentral is "bacterial SSU rRNA". It matches the Rfam family "Bacterial small subunit ribosomal RNA", at positions 777 to 1311 of the family's 1533-position model. The record is from RNAcentral.